Molecule: ribosomal RNA, 579 nt
Filed under: Penicillium chrysogenum
Lineage: Eukaryota; Fungi; Ascomycota; Eurotiomycetes; Eurotiales; Aspergillaceae
Description: eukaryotic LSU rRNA
Rfam family: 5.8S ribosomal RNA (bases 200-352)
Source: RNAcentral
CUGAGGGGACUGCGGAGACAUUACCGAGUGAGGGCCCUCUGGGUCCAACCUCCCACCCGUGUUUAUUUUACCUUGUUGCUUCGGCGGGCCCGCCUUAACUGGCCGCCGGGGGGCUUACGCCCCCGGGCCCGCGCCCGCCGAAGACACCCUCGAACUCUGUCUGAAGAUUGUAGUCUGAGUGAAAAUAUAAAUUAUUUAAAACUUUCAACAACGGAUCUCUUGGUUCCGGCAUCGAUGAAGAACGCAGCGAAAUGCGAUACGUAAUGUGAAUUGCAAAUUCAGUGAAUCAUCGAGUCUUUGAACGCACAUUGCGCCCCCUGGUAUUCCGGGGGGCAUGCCUGUCCGAGCGUCAUUGCUGCCCUCAAGCACGGCUUGUGUGUUGGGCCCCGUCCUCCGAUCCCGGGGGACGGGCCCGAAAGGCAGCGGCGGCACCGCGUCCGGUCCUCGAGCGUAUGGGGCUUUGUCACCCGCUCUGUAGGCCCGGCCGGCGCUUGCCGAUCAACCCAAAUUUUUAUCCAGGUUGACCUCGGAUCAGGUAGGGAUACCCGCUGAACUUAAGCAUAUCAAUAAGCGGAGGAA